RNAcentral lists this long non-coding RNA (578 nucleotides) under Homo sapiens (human). Its description in RNAcentral is "non-protein coding lnc-RBM34-2:1". The record is from RNAcentral. Lineage: Eukaryota; Metazoa; Chordata; Mammalia; Primates; Hominidae.
CAUAAUGAUAGAUUAGUGUGAGUGAUUUUAAAAGUAUACAUAUUAUUGGCAGUUCAGGUAAGAAGAAUUUUUUGUUUUUGCUUUUCCUAAGAUGCUGCUGCAUUUGUAUAUGAUUUUCCAGGUUUCUAGGCAGGUUGUUUUCUGUAGGACUAAAUUCAAAUGGCUAAUUUUAAAUUACCUACUAAAAUCUGUGACAAAUUUAUUGUUACAUUUUUGUUUAUUAAAUCUUUUCUUUCUCUUUCAGCAAAUAGUAGUGAUAGUGAAGAACUUUCAGCUGGUGAAAGUAUAACUAAGAGUCAGCCAGUCAAAUCAGUUUCCACUGGAAUGAAGUCUCAUAGUACCAAAUCUCCCGCAAGGACGCAGUCUCCAGGAAAAUGUGGAAAGAAUGGUGAUAAGGAUCCUGAUCUCAAGGAACCCAGUAAUCGAUUACCCAAAGUUUACAAAUGGAGUUUUCAGAUGUCGGACCUGGAAAAUAUGACAAGUGCCGAACGCAUCACAAUUCUUCAAGAAAAACUUCAAGAAAUCAGAAAACAUUAUCUGUCAUUAAAAUCUGAAGUAGCUUCCAUUGAUCGGAGGAG